AAAAUAAAUAAAAGUGCAAAAAUCUAAUGUUUGAAAACAAUGGUAGGAUCCUCAUUGGUCUACAUGUUACUAUCCCUCUUUUUCAUGCAAUAAAAAAAGAUGGGAAUAGAGGAGCUGUUUAACACUCCACAGCAUCCCAAAUAAACAAUUCAUUUUAAAUUGCAAUGAGAUAACUAACACAGUAAAAUAAGAAGAUAAAAUACUACAUUAAGAAUAAGAUAAGAAAGAAACCAAUCUUCUUGGGUCCACAAAUUCGGUGUGAAUUGGGGAGUACAAGGAAGAGAGAGAGAGAGUUAGAACUUUUAAAUUUAAUUUUUAAAUUUUAUUAUAUUGCUUAAUAGGCAUUUAUUUUCGAAUAAAGUUACUAUUUGACGAGACUUGUUUGAUCAUAUAUUUUAUACAUAAUUUUAAAUAAUUUUAAAACAUAAUUUUUUUAUAAAUAAGAUAGUUAAGUACUAGGAUUAAAGCCUAUACUAAAAUAAAAAAUAUAUAUCUAUUUGUGAUUAAUGCAAGGAGAGUCUGACUACUAUAUUUUUAUGAUUAUAAACUUUUUUGUACACAUAAAUUUUUGACCGUCAAAUCUAUACUUAUAACCAUUUUCAUCCGUUAGGUCACAUACUAUUCAACCAACCACUCACUCAACUUUAGAAGACUAUUAUCAUUUUAAUCGGCGACUACUAUGAUCCAAACGAUCGAAAACUUUAUAAGUAUAAAGAAGUUUAUACUUUAUACUUAUAAAAGUAUAGUAGUCCUGAUCAUACAAGUAAAUAAAUAUAAAAUAUAUAAAUAGAAACUUUGAUUCAGGAGAAAAUUUUAUUGAACUAUUUGAUAAAAUACAGAACAGGGAGAAUUAGGAUUUCAAACAAGUAAAAAAGUUCAAAAAACUUUGUAUUUUUUAUUUUUUUAAAGAGAGAGAGAGAGAGAGAGAGAGAGAGAGAGAGUUUGUUAAGAGGUUGUCACCUAUGUGGAUGUGCACAUGGCACGUGUCACUCCACUUGCACACGCCAUAUUUCCAUCUUUAGCCCAUCUCUCUCUCUCUCUCUCUCUCUCUCUCUCUCUCUCUCUCUCACCCUUUCCCCAUCUCCCCUUUGGUUGUCUCCUCACCAAAGCUCAUCAACUCCACAUCCAUUUUGCAAAUGAACCCACCUCUUAUCCCUCUCUCUAAAUUCUAUAUUUCUCUUUCUCUUUACAUAUACAUUCCUCUCCUAGCUUGUUGUUGUUCUACUUUUUGUUGCUUUGAAAUUUGGAAGAUCCUUAAAAUAAAUCAAAAUGGAUGUGGAGUACCAAGAGGUGGGUUCAUUUAGAUUUCUUUUAAUCCUUUUCUCCUUCUUCUUUUUUUGNCAUCCUCUUAUCCCUCUCUCUAAAUUCUAUAUUUCUCUUUCUCUUUACAUAUACAUUCCUCUCCUAGCUUGUUGUUGUUUUACUUUUUGUUGCUUUGAAAUUCGGAAGAUCCUUAAAAUAAAUCAAAAUGGAUGUGGAGUACCAAGAGGUGGGUUCAUUUAGAUUUCUUUUAAUCCUUUUCUCCUUCUUCUUUUUUUGUUUUGUUUUGGUGUGUUUAUUAUUAAAUCCCAUUAGUAAUCUCCUUGUUUGGUUUGAUAUAUAUUAAACCUUAAUUUUUCUUUAUGUAUAUGUUUUUAGGAGUAUAUUAGGAGUUCAAGAGGGGUGCAACUGUUCACAUGUAGAUGGUUACCACUCUCUUCACCACCCAAAGCACUUGUAUUCCUUUGCCAUGGUAUGUUCUUAUGCUUAAUUAUAAUCAUCAUUAAUAAAUAUCAUGAUAUAAUUGGAAAACAAAAAAAUUAUACAAGAAUGGUGUUUUGUUUUCUUUGUUAAGUAUAAUUUUAUGACAUUCCUGUUGUUUAUUUGGUGCAGGCUAUGGCAUGGAAUGUAGUGGCUUCAUGAAAGGUAACAAUAUCAAUAAUCUUUUUAAAGGUUCUUUUAUAGUAAUCUAUAGUCCUCAAAUGCAAUAUUUAUAGAAGGUUCUUUUUUUUUUUGUCCUUUUUUGCUCCAAGAUUUUUUUUUUUUUUUUGUGUGGCCUAGUACAAUAUAAAUUUCAAAAUCAAGAAAAUCAAGGUCUCAAAAAAAGGAAAAAAAAAAAAAGUGUACAUGUAAUCCACUUCUCCCUCUGCUCAUUCUCUGUAGCCUUUUUACUUCACGGGUACAAUGUUUUGUAGCUUUUUGGUUGUUACAUGUGAAUAUAUUAUCUCUACGUACAUGUGACAUACAUAUGCUAGAGAAAGAAAAAUACCUUUGGAAAAAUACAUUGUAUCCUAUUUUCACUCCUUUCUCACUUUGCUAAUUUUGCUUAAUUCUGAAACAUAUUUAAAUAAUUGUAUCAAACUACAUUCUUCAUUAGGGGUGGCAUUAAAAGUUUUCACAGUGUAUAUUUUCAAAACUAUUGAGGAUCAAAUUAAACAAAUACUUUAAAGGGCACUUGUAUGUUAAUAUAUGAAAUAAAUAAUUUGAACCAAACUAGUAAUUAUUAAUUUAGGAGAAAAUUCUAGAGGGAACAAUAAAUAACAAGACCACUUUACACUCCAUCUUUAAUGGCAUGCAUUUCUUAUAAUUGAGAGAGGUGAGAGAAUUGAAUGAUCUCUCUUUUUUUCUUGGUGCUUUAUUUAAAAGAUAGAAAAUAUUUAUUAGCCACCUACCACCUUUAUACUUUCUCUCCCAAAAUAAAAGGAAACCACCUAUAUAUAUUAAAUGCACCUCUAUGGAAAGUAUUUGAUUUUGAACAUAUGCUGCUUUUUUUAGAAAAGAAUAUAUACUACCAAGGGUUAGUGAGAACAUAACAGAAAUUAUUAUUCAGAGAUGAUCUGAUGCACUGAAACUGGUCAAAUUUACUGUUUUUAUAUUUCUGUCACUUUUCAUAUGGUAUUUUUUCUCUUCAAUUGAUUUAGAAUGUGUUCAGAUGUAGUUAACUUAGUCCCCGCUAUAGGCUUAAAAAAGAGAAAUAUCAAAAUAAAAUUACUAUUCUAUUUUAUAACUUACAGUAACCCUAAUUAAAUUUUGUUUCUUAAAUUACUAUCACAAUUCCGAUCUAAGUAAUAUGUACUAUUUAUUUGCCAUUUUAACAUAAUUUCGACCUACAAAUUCUUGUUUUUUAUUUUUUUUUGGAAUUCAUGGUCAAAAUAUUUUCCCUUUAUUGGGUCAAUAUAUCCUUUUAAUUGGUUAAUGUUUGGUGAGCUACCACCACAUCCCCAAAAUUUAUUUACAUAACCAUUAUUCUCUAAAAUCCAUUUAAAAUGCCGAAUUUAAUGCAUAAGUUGUUUUUUAUUCGUUUCCCACAACUGCAUGCUCGGAACCCUUUUAUUGUACUUUGCUUUGGACCAUAUUUUUUACCUUUGAGAAAUUAUUUUUGUGGACCAGGUCCAACGAACUAGGCUACGAGAGUANUAAACUUAUAUAUAUAUAUAUAUAUAUAUAUAUAUAUAAUAAUAUAAAGCCCAAAAAAGUAAAUAGGAUAAUGCCUCCAUCAUGACACUUAUUAGGAUAUAUAAGAAAGUUGUUAUUUAAAUUAAUUUCUUAAUUUGCUACAAUCUCUGCGGUUCAAUUAUUGGGUGUGUCUGGUUCGAAGUCGGAAUUGGUAUCGAAAUCGAAAUGAGAAUAAAGCUGAAACCGGGGUCGGAAUGAUUCAUUACCUUAUUUUGUUUGGUUCGACAUCUGAAUUGGAAUCGGAAUGAAUUAAUUUUUAUUGUCGGUGUUUGGUUCAGAUAGAUGUUAGAAAUAUAAUCAAAUUAAUAUGUCAAUUUUAUUUUCAUAAUAUAUUAGUUUAUUACUUUUGUUAAAAUAAAAAUUUAUCAAUAUGAUUUAGCAAUACACUCAGCAGCACAGCAAAACUAGUGCAUUUUAACUGAUGUGUUCUCGGUUCAUAGGUGAUUUGGUGGACCAGGUUUAGGCAAUUGUAUACACAUUUAGUUAACGGUGCAUUAAGUAUUGUCCUUAUUUACCCCACCAAUCCGAGCCCGGGUUGUUGUCGGGUUCUGUGACUCAUUAAUUCGGGCUCAGUCCCAUUGCGUCGUGUGGGCUCACUACGUGAACCCAUUUAUAUUUAUUUACAGUUGCAUUAAUUUUCACCAUCCUAAUUAUAAAAAAUGUGACACUUCAACAAGCGAAUCAAAUUUAUUGAAUCUGAUCAAAUUUUUUUUAAUACCAAUUUAUUUUCUUCGAUCAUUGUUGUGAAUAGCGCGGUGAUGUUAUUUGGACGAAAAUGGCUAAUAAAAGAGCGUAUAUAUAUAGUAUUGAAUUGAAUUUGGUGAUGAUAGGGUGCGGGACGAGGCUAGCCACCGCUGGAUACGGAGUUCAUGGGAUCGAUUACGAGGGGCACGGGAGGUCCAUGGGAGCUCGAUGCUACAUCAAGAAGUUCGACCACAUCGUCGCCGACUGCGAUCGUUUCUUCAAAUCCAUUUGCGGUAAAAAUAUUUCCGACCUUUUUCUCUAACUUUCCUUCCAUCACAUCAACAAGAAUUAUAGCUGAUUUUGAUAUAUGAUGUUGCUUAUUGGAAUAGUAUGUUGACUUUAUACUUAGGACACAGAAUCAAUUCAAAAGCUUAAACUUAUAACAAUAAAACGCCUAGCAUAUUAUAUAGAUUGUACGUGCAAGAAAUAGAUUGUUAUAUAAAAUUUAGCAUAUUCUAGAUAACUCAAACGAUUACUCUCUCGUUUAUUUCUAGAGUAUGCGCGAGAGUUCUUUUCAUAUCUACAUAGUAUUAUAUAUAUUAUAUAAGUGCAAGCAAUCACAUCACAAGUGUCAUGUUUUUUGUUCUAGUCUUUUUUUGUCAUCUUAUGGAUAAACCGUGCUUUCGCUAUUAUCAAAUUUCAAAUUUUCAAAAUCAGAGUAACGAGUACUGAUUAAGUACGAUUUAGAGCUUAUGAUAUAUAACGUUGUUUGAUUUUGAAAUUGAACGAUGUAUACCUGCAAUAUUGAUGUUACAUAUAAUCAUUUAUGACUAACUUUUUUUUUCUCUAAAAUUGAUGGGCAAAAAAUCACUAUCACUCCCAAUAAGUUUGUUGAGAUGUCACUCCCAAUAUUCCUUAUAUACUAUAACAAAGCAUGGAAAAGCUUUUAUGUAUAAUUUAAUGUUCCAAGGGACACGCAAGUGACCAGUCACAUGAGUCACAUCCCAUCAUUUUGGGUUCAAAGGGUUUAGUUAGACAAUUAUGGAUGAUUUGUACCGAACAAUGUAGGUACUUACUGAUUCAUCAGUAACAAAAUGCAUUUUAACCGUUUAAUUUGAACGAUUACAAAUACAUCGGCUACGACUUGGAUGCGUUAUGCUCCUGGUUUGUUUUAAAUGCAUCAAGCUUCUGAUUGAUGUUAAGACAUUUCAUUAUCGGUUUGCCGAUUUUACUAACUUUUGUUGAUAUUUCUUACAAAAAAUCAGUAGUCAUUAUUUUUGUUGCGCGAUUAUAGAAUUGGAAGAGAACAGGACGAAGAGUCGGUUUCUGUACGGGGAGUCGAUGGGAGGCGCCGUCGCGCUUCUCCUUCACAGGAAGGAUCCCACCUUCUGGGACGGUGCCGUUCUCGUCGCGCCCAUGUGCAAGGUAACUUUACGCGAGAUGUACUCUAACUGUCUAAUUCACCGUUCAUACUAUUUAACCAAAUAUAUAACCACUCCUCAGGACGGAAAAAUGAAUUGGUCUUAAAUUUAUUGCUUAAAUAUUUUAGCUAAGCAUAUUUUUUUUAUAUAAUUUUUGGUUUAGAUAUCCGAGAAGGUGAAGCCCCACCCAGUAGUGGUGAACCUUUUGACGCGCGUGGAGGAGAUAAUCCCCAAGUGGAAAAUUGUCCCCACUAAGGACGUAAUCGACUCCGCAUUUAAGGACCCUAUCAAGCGUGAAGAGGUAUAGGAUUAUUUUUCAAAAACUUAAGCGGUUAAAGAAUAAUAUUUUUAUAUAUUUUGUGUUAAUUUAUUCCUCGUGGAAUAGUAAUUUUUUUUCACUUAUUGUGGAGUAUCUAAUACCAAUUAAUUUUUGGAAUUAACAGAUACGAAGCAACAAGCUUAUCUACCAGGAUAAGCCUCGCCUUAAGACCGCGCUUGAGUUGCUCAGAACCAGCAUGGACCUCGAGGACAGCUUAUCCAAGGUAAUUCGUAAUAAGUGUGUUAUGCUGACUCAUUAACUGUAAUUUAAAUUAUCUUUGAUGAUACGUGACAAAUUGCGAAAAUAGUUAGUCUGAAGUCGUGCAACAUUUGCAGGUGAAGUUGCCGUUCUUUGUGCUUCAUGGCGAGGCCGACACGGUGACCGACCCGGAGGUGAGCCGAGCGUUGUACGAGCGCGCGGGAAGUUCCGACAAGACAAUCAAGCUAUAUCCAGGAAUGUGGCACGGCCUAACCGCCGGCGAGCCCGACGACAAUGUGGAGGCCGUGUUCGCCGACAUCGUAGCGUGGCUCGACCAACAUAGCUGUCGGUGGACCCACGACCGGACACGCUGUCCCGAAAAGCCCGAGCCGGACAUCAUUACCAUCGGUAGCGAUAGCCCUACGUCGCCGGUCAAGACGCGGCGGCCGCGGCAUCGGGUUUUUCUUUGCGGGUGGAAGGGUCGGACGCAGCAUCACUCGGCCAUGUAAAGAGUUCGUGAAAGGGGAAUGUUUUCCGUUGGCAUUUCAUCGAACACUGUGGAAAGGGGGAAAAUAAAAUGUGACGAGAGGAUACAGUAAUAAUAAUAAUAAUAAAAAACAUAAUAAAUUGGUGUGUUGAGCAUUAUAAAAUAGGGUGUUACAAAUGAAUUUGUCAAAUAAAAAUUAGUUUAAAUUUCAGAAGGGUAUAUCUUUUUUCCUUCACCUUUUCCGGUAUGCCUAAUCCUGUGUCAUACGUUCAAAUUAAAAGGAAAGAUGAGCAAAAACAAACAGUAUUUUUUUGAAAGCAUUGUAUUAAUGGUCUCAUUUUGACAUAGAUAGGAUAUCAACAAAGAAGCAUCCAUUUUGACAAUUCAUAAGAGAGAAUAAAAAAUAACUACCAACAAAAGGUCAAAAAAGAAAUGAUAAUACAGAGUAAGCAUGAAAAAUAUUAUUGGUAACAAUAAAAUGAUUCCACUACUAACUUCUACGUAGCUACUCUGAUUUAGUAGCCAAAGCUUAUAGUAAGCCUUCAAGUUCAAGUAGAUGUAUGUUCACUUAUUGCUCCUUUCUUUCUUCCUCCUUUGACUUGCGUAAAGAUAACUCGGACCGAUGAUGAUCCGACGGUCGUAACUUAAAGACUUAAGAGGAGCCCGCGGUGGCGGUGGUGGUGGAGGAGGACGAGGUGGAGUGGUCGCCAAAAAUGCGGUUGCGGAAAUCGGAGACCAUGAGGGGGAGGCCCUCGCGGAGGGGGAUCUUGGGCUCCCAGCCCAAUAGCUCCUUGGCCCGAGUGAUAUCGGGCUUGCGCUUGUGCGGGUCGUCCUCCGUGUUGGGCCGGAACUCGAUCCGGGCGUUCGGGUCGAUCGUGUCCUGGACCACUUUCGCAAGCUCAAGCAUCGUGAACUCGCCGGGAUUACCCAGGUUGAACGGGCCGAUGUGUUCUCCUUCCAUCAAUCGCAUCAAACCUUCCACCUGACAAUUUUCACAUAAGAAUCAUCGCAACGUCUACUUAAAUUUCGAAAGAUAUGCAACCAAAUAAUAAAGGGAACUUCUGAGGCGUGCGGACCAUUUUGAAUCGACUAUCUAAUCUUUCAAAAUUUUGAUUUUACUAUCCAUUUUUUUUUUUUUUUUUGAACUAUAUUAACAGUUAAUAAUAAUCUUGUUAAUUUACUUUUUUUUUGUUUUGGAUCCGUCAACGAUACUUUGACUUUAAAAUUUACGUUAAUUAGUUUAAUAAAUUUAUAAUUACGUGAAUUGCAUGCUGUAUACUAAUGUAUUCUAAUUAUGAAGUCAAAGUGCCAUUGACCAAAAUAAAUCAAACAAAUUGAAAGAUUGGAUAGUAAAAUUAAAAUUUUGAAAGAUUGAAUUGUCAGCUCACAAUAGUCUAUAGUUCAGAUAAGUUCUGUUCUUUUUGACCUAUUCAGAAUUUAAGUUGGUUGGGAAAUGCAAAGAGAUUCCCUUACACUUUUGUUCUUCUCAUUUAUCAUCUAAUGCAAAUUAAUGCAUUUUUGAUACAUUAACUCCAACUAAGUGACCCAACAAUUAAAGUGAGAGUAAAUAGUAAUAAGAGUCAAGCUUUUUGGUGACAUUAAUCCUCCAACCAUUUUGGGGCUUUUGGGACCAUUAUUGAGACAUUUCCCUACAUGACACGGUCACACGGCACAUGCAAAAGAGCAAAAGGUGCAUAAAAACAAACAUGGCAACAAUAAUAAUGGGAGAAUAAAAAUUAAAAAGAAUAGAGAGAGACAUUACUUUCGAAAGAGAGAGAGAGAGAGAGAGAGAUCUGCAAAGAAAAGGAUGAAAACUCACCAGAUCGGAGACAUACUGGAAACUCCUCGUUUGCUUUCCAUCGCCGUAAACUGUCAUGGGCUCUUUCCUCAGAGCCUUAAAAACAAAAAAAAAAAAAAGAAGAAAAAAUCAGUAGCUGUAUUAAUAAGGAGUAAUUAGCAUCUAAAUUAAUCUAACAAAACAAUAUACAACAUAUUAACACGUAUUUUGAUGGAUAUGAUUGAUCGAUAAUUAUGAUUACUAUUUUAGAAAUAAGUACAUAUGAACUGCUUUCAAAUCAUAUGAAGUGCUAACGAUUCUGUAAUUACUCUAAUACCCAACUUUACUCGCUUAACAAAUACAAAAUAGCGAUUAAAUCUAUUAAGUCAUUUUAACCCUUAAAUCCUAGAAGGGGAGAAUUGCGUUAAGAACAAUAAUCUUUACAUCAGUACAAACUGAAACCAUAAUAUGUAUAUAACAAUAUGGAAUGUAUCUCUACGUUAAAACUUUCUAAAAUUUUAGGCCGAACACGCGUAGUCGCACCUAACAUACGUGAAGUAAUUCAUCUGAUCGCAUUAGGUUCGUGCCACGUAUUAGUACAUAUAUAUAGAGAUGUGAAAUGUGCACCGACUUAAUUAAAGAGAUAAUAUAUUAAAUAUUUGAAGUCAAAGUGAUAGUCGACGCGCAUUGAUAAAAGUAAAUACAUAAUUUUGUAGGUAUGAACAUGCAAACUCUGAUCAAAGAGAGGGGGGUUUUGUGGUGGUUAGACCUGGGCGACAAAGUUGCUGACGACGCGGCCAUCAUCGAUGCACAUGCGAGGCCCAUAAGUGUUGAAGAUCCGAGCUAUUCUCACCUAUAUUUUUGUACAUGUAGAUAUAGAUAUGUCACCCAAUUGCAUCACCGAAUAUUAAUAGCUUAAAAUUAGAUUACCUUUUAUUUUUUUGCUAAAUUAAUUAGAGAUAUUAUCUCGAGAGAAAAAAAAUUUUUUAAAAAAAGAAAAAGUUAGGCUAUGUAACUACCUCGAGCUGGGCACCACGAUGGUAGUCCAUGGUCAACGUCUCCGCCGUGCGCUUCCCCUCGUCGUAGCAACUCCUCACGCCUGCGUGGGUCCCACAACAAAUAACGUGUCAGAUACUCUACUACUACCAAUCAUUUUCUUUAAUUAUAUUAUAUCUUUUAGAACGAAUAUACAUAAUUAAUAAUAUAUAAUAUACGUGCUACCUAGCUAGCUCAUUACCUAUAUUAUUUGAAUUAUAAUAUUAAACUAAAGUAAAACAACUGUCCCUCUCGCAUCUACAAUUAAGCUUUUUUUUAUAGGUUUACAGUGUGGAUUAAAUGGAUUAGAAUUCUGACUAAAUAAAAAUUGAAAAUUUUUUAUUCUGAUAUUACGUUAUAUUAAAAUAAAAUAAUUAUUGCGCUCUAAUAACUUUAAGAUAUUAAAAAAAUAGUAUUUUUAAUAUUUAUAUUUGAUAUAAUAAAAAUAUAAUGCAUAUAAAUGGAGUUGUAAGAUGGUGGCAUUAGUUCCACCGAGAACUGAAUCUCAGAAUUUUAUUAUCUUGUGAAUUAAUAUGCACGUACAAAAGCUGAGAGAACCUUCUGAAUUACUUAGCAAAUGCUCUCAUUAUUCCUGGGAGCUGUAAAGCCCUGCUUUGUCUCAGACGCAAUAAAAAUUUCACAGCACUUGCUCGUACAGUACCAGAAGAAUAAUGCAUGUUACAGCUUUUGCUUUUUUUUUUUAAAACUAACUAUUAGCUAGCUUCCUCCAAAAGCUCAAACCAUAAUCUUCUUCAGAAACCAAACAUAUGCGCUCGUAUCAACACUAUUGAACAAAUUAAGUUGUGAUAUUACUAUAUAUUUAUUUAUAUAUAUAUUUGUGUGUGUUUUAGGUUCCGACAAAAAACGUAGAAAGAGCAUAUGUAGAGAGAAAGGGAGGAGGCAUAUAUACCAAUAGGAUUAACGUUGCCCCAGUAGGUCUCGACCUGGGGGUGUUGGAGGGGGUCGCCAUACACCUCGCUGGUGCUGCUGAGCAGGAACCUGGCCCCCACCCUCUUCGCCAAACGAACAACAACAACAACAGCAACAACAACACAAAAGAGAGAGAAAGAGAAAGAGAAAGAGAAAGAGAAAGAGAGAAUAAUAAUAAUAACGAAUUAAUUAAUGAAUUUAAAAAAGGAAAAGGAAAAAGAAGAGGAAAGAUGAUUAAGAAGAAGAAAAUUAAGGAUAUGAUGGUUUUGACGGGGUUGAACUUGUAGUGGACGGGGGAGGCGGGGCAGGCGAGGUGGUAGAUGUGGUCGACCUCGAGGAGGAUGGGCUCGACGACGUCGUGGCGGAUGAGCUCGAAGUUGGGGUUCCCGAGGUGGUGCGCCACGUUCUCCUUCCGCCCCGUGAAGAAGUUGUCCACCACGAUCACGCUGUCCCCCCGCGCCAUCAGCCGGUCCACCAGGUGGCUCCCCACGAACCCCGCACCCCCCGUCACCACGAUCCUCUUCCCCUUCCUCCGCAACCCUAGCGGCACCUUCCCCCCCACGAACAUCCCCACCCCCACCCCCUCGAUCGCCGCCCGGUGCACCGAUCUCCGCCCCACCGCCGCCGCCGCCACCGCCGCCCUCGCCGCCACCUCGCCGCCUCCGCCGCCGCCGCCGCCGCUCGGGGCGAGGGAGAGGACGAUCGCCGCGAGGGCCAUCCCGAGCAGGGCGAAGAGGAGGCGCUGCUCCGAGACGAGGUACCGGAUCGGGCGCGAGAGCCACGGGAGCGGCUUCGCGGGCUUCGGGGAGUACCCGGGAACCUCCUGGGGAGGCGAUUCGUGGCCGCGGUAGAUGAGCUCGGAACCCAUCGGAGGACACCAAAUUGAAACAGAUCCGAUCCGGAGGGGCUUAUCCCUUCGUGCAAAAAUUUAUCGAGGGGGGCUUUUUCGAGAACGAAGGAAACUUCGAGGGCCUUUUUUUUUUUGGUGGGGGGAACCCGCGCCCGAAGAGUCGCGUGAACGGUGGCGUUGUGCGGUAGUGGGGAGGGGGGGGAGAAGAGCUAUUUAACUGGGGGAGAGAUGUCGUUGCAGUAUAAUGUUCCUUCGGACCACCACGUCUUAAGUUGCACCAUAUCAUCUCCACCGUUGGAUUGUUCAACGGCACUAAUCGCCGCCCACGUGGACUGUAACAGCGCCUUCCGCAAAGUGACAAUUUACAUAAGCCGCCUUGCAAUUGCGAAAAAUUAUAGAAAUGUAUAUAAUAUUAUAUUAUAAUUAAAAAAUUUCUAAGAAGUUCAUAUUAUAUCACUAAUAUAUAAUUUUAAUUAAUAAAAUUAUUUUUAAUCAAUCUAUUUUAACAUUAUUAAUUAAAAAAUAUUUUAUUAUAUUUUAUUUAUAUAUAUAAAUAUAAUAUAUAUAAUAUAUAUAUAUACUAUAUAUAUAGUGUUAUACUUUGUAGCACGGGGUCUUCGUACUACAAAUUGUUUUCAAUGGAUACCUGCUUCUAAAUGACGAUUGAUUCCGUAAACUUAAUCUACAAUAUGUGAAGAUUGUGAGAUAAAUUUUAUAUAUUUUUCGAUAUCAUUUGGCUAUGUGAUCAAAAGGUCUCAGAAUAAUAAAUUUUUAAUGAUAGAUUUGAUGCAGUGGAAUUUAUAGUGUAAAAUAAUCCAAAUUUGAUGAAUUUUAUAAAAGUUGUUUUUCACUAUUUAACUAAUGAUCAGUAUAUCUCUAUCUUAAAUUUCAGUCUUUUGUAUCAUCAUUUUUAUAGAUUUUUUUUGUUCAGUCCGUUCAAUAUUGUUUAGACACUUGUUUAUAAAAAUAAUAUCCGAAAUAUUAUGAAAUUUAAUUUUCAAAUAUUUUUAAUAGUGAGACAAAGUUUAACGGCCCUGAUGCAUAUUGGAAGCUCAGCAUCAUCGAAAACAACUUGGUAGUAUGAGCUUCCGUCAUCCGAUAAUAUACCAGCUGACUCAUAUAUAUUAUAUAUAUAUAUAUAAUUAAUUUGUUACUGAUAAUAUUGUGCAAGUGUGGUACUAUAGAUUUUCUUCCGUAAUUAUAGAGAAAUUGUAAUAUCACCACUCAAGUAAAAGUGUUUGUCUUUAUCCCAGGAGUCUGGAAUUUAAUAUUUUAUUAUUUUUCGGAUAUAAAUAAAAAGAUGAGCUUUUUUUAUUAACUAGCUACUUAAACUUGAGAAAUUAUUAAUUUAUUAUAUAAAUAAAAAUAAAAAUUUAUUUUCCUCCCAUUAGUUUUAGAAGUAAUAUAUAAGAUAUGUAUUAAUUGUUAGGUUCAUUAGUAAGAAUAAAAGAAAAAAAGAACUUUUAUUUUGCAUUUUAAGAUUUCUAUAAUUAAAUUAAAAAAAAAUCAGUCCAUAUAAUACGGAUCAUGUACUAAUUUUUUUUUUCAAAAAUUUAUGAAAGUAAAAUGCAAUUGUUGCGAUGAGAUUACGACGUUAGUUGGUUUGCACUACGCUUCCAAGUCAUCCAAAUGACGAAAAAACCCUUUCCUAAAAUCCAAAAUUGACCAACUUAUAUCCCAGAACAAUAAUAUCUCCCCGGGCCACGUGGACGGCGGAGAUGGCGCGGCCGGAUGCUCCCCAUGUUCCCUAAAUUGUAUUAACGCAACAGUUAGUUAGAGAAAAUUAAAAUACUAAUCUCAUUUAUUAUAUUAAUUUUCUACUAAGAUUGUACAUGUGGAAGAUUUAUUAUUUCUUAUGGUAUUGGGUUUGGAGGGUUGUACCCCUGCUGUACAUUGGAAUGGAAUUUCGUUUGACUUUGGACCGCAUCCGUCCGAUCUCGAUCGAACGGCUAGGAUGCAGUAGACUCGAUAGAGUUGGAGGGUGCUAGGCUUUUGCGUGUGGGGUCAUGUGUGGUUGUGAUCAUGUGUGUAUUAUUUGAUUUCCAUGUGGGGUUUUUAUAAUUAAUUAUCUCAUGAUCAUUACUAGUGAGUAAUCUUGUUUAAGAAAAAACAAAUUCGAGAGAGAGAGAAAGGUUACCGGCUAUCUAUAAAGCUAUUAAUUUUACGGGUUUUACAGAUUUGUCACUUAAUUUAUUUCAUAUAAAUAUGAAAUAAUUAAAUUUUAAAUUUGAAAUAUUUGAUAUCAAAUGUAAAGUUCUUAACCAACUGUGUGCUAUAUAUAUAUAUAUAUAUAUAUAUAUAUAUAUAUAUAGUCGGUAAUUUACAAGUGUUAAUUAAUAAAAAGAAUUAAUAUUUAUAGGUCCAUUUCAAAAUACAUUUUAUUUAUUUAUUUGUUUGCAAUGCAGUGGGUAGGUGGUAGGUGGGUCCCGUAUAGUUGGGGGUACCGCAGAGAGGGGGUGUUUCCGAGAGAUUCAGACGCCACUCAAACUCAACAAAGUGGACAAAACAAAGCUGGCCAUGACAAAGGCGUGACUCUCGCAUUAUUUAUUUGUCAAUUUAUUAGGCCACACAUUAAAACGUUAAAAUUUUGUUUAAAUGUGUUACUCAUAAUUAAUUAGUCUUAACAUCGGCGCUACAUGCAUUGUCUAUGCCGAGUAAAUCAUUAUUCCUUGUGCACUAACUUAAAAAAAAAAAAAAAAACUUGGGGCCUCUUAAAUGGAUCAAGCGGGUUUAGGGCUUAUUCUGAUAUUAUAUUUACUUAGGUAUCGUUUGGUUCGAGGAUAAGAAAAAAAUGACUAUUCCAGGGAUAGGUAUAAAUUGAGGUAUAAGCGGGGAUUAGAUCAAUUUUGCGUUUGGAUGAAAAUUGGGUUAUUCCUGGGAAUAAAAAAAAUAGCGUUUGGUUAGGUAAGAUGGAUUAAGAAAGAUAGUGGAUUUUAUAAAUAAAAAAUAAUCAUAUUAUCCUCUUAUUAUAUUUGAAUUUAAAUUUUUAAAUUUUUAAAUAUAUAUUUUUAAAUUUAAAAUUUUAACUUUGAAAUUUUAAAUUUUGAAAUUUAAAAUCUCAAAUUUUAAAUUCAAAAUUUUAAAUUUUAAAUUUCAAACUUUAAAUUUAAGAUCAAAUUUAAAUUUAAAAAAUAUAAAAUAUCAAAUUUUAAAUUUCAAAAAUUUAAAAUAUCAAAAUUUAAAUUUAAAAUUUAAAAUUUAUAAUUUAUAAUUUAAAUUUUAAACUUUAAUUUUGAGAUUAUAAAUUAUAAAUUUUAAAAAUUUAAAUUUUUAAUUUUUAAAUUUUUAAAAUAAGAAUAGGGGUGGGAACAAUUAAUAAAAAUAAUUUAUUAUAAUAAAUUUAUAAAUUUUUUUAAAAUUCUACUUAAACUUAAAUUUAAUAAAAAGAAUUUAUUAUAAUAUUUAAAUAUAAUUUACUAUAAAUUUUAUUAUAAUAUUUAAAUAUAAAUAAUAAUUAUUAAUAUAGUACAAUUAAUAAUUUUAUAAUAAAAAUAAUGUAUUAUAAUAUAUAAAUUUUAAAAAUUUAAAUUUUUAAUUUUUAAAUUUUUAAAAUAAGAAUAGGGGUGGGAACAAUUAAUAAAAACUAUUUAUUAUAAUAAAUUUAUAAAUUUUUUUAAAAUUCUACUUAAACUUAAAUUUAAUAAAAAGAAUUUAUUAUAAUAUUUAAAUAUAAUUUAUUAUAAAUUUUAUUAUAAUAUUUAAAUAUAAAUAAUAUAUAUUAAUAUAUUACAAUUAAUAAUUUUAUAAUAAAAAUAUUGUAUUAUAAUAUAUAACAUAUUAUAUUUAUAUAAUUUAGUUUUAAUUCAAUUUAUAAUUUUAAUUAAGUUUGAAAUUAAGUAUUGGAAUAGUGCUAUUCCAUCAAAAUGGUGGAAUAGCAAAUCCCUUGCUAUUCCGGGAUAACCGGGAAUAGCAAGGUUUGAUCGGGAUAAAAUAUCCUGGCCAAAUUUCACCCCGUUUGGCGGAAUAGCGGGGAUAACUUUCAUUAUCCCCGCUUAUCCCUCCAACCAAACGGGGCCUUAAAAGAUUAAUUUAAUAAAAAACAGUUUAGAAUCUGUUUUGACAAAAUGUAAUAAUUUUUCAAUCCUUUUUGAAUCAAAGUUUUUUAGUUUGAACUUUUAUCCAUCUGUGGCUUGUAUAAGUAAAGGCCUGGAAUAAAGGAAGGGGUAAAAAUCUAAAUAAAAUUUUAGUCGCAUCUGAAGCGACAUAUAUAUUUGAAUUUUAAGGAGAAAAAUAAUUUGACGUGAAACAGCCACAGCUGUAUAGUGUAGUUGGUUGUUAUUCUAAAAAGUUUUUUCGAUUGUCGGGAUUCUGAUUUGAGUGUUAAAGCUUUUGGCUUUUAAAUUAUUCCGAGAAGAUUUUGGGGUUCAGCCUCUGAGAGCAUGACGCGUGGAAAAUUCUGGAUCAUUUGCUUGAUUUCAAGGAAGUAAUCCGUAAUUAGAGUUAAUGAGUAGUUUAGAUUGAAAAAAACUUAUAAAGUGUCAAAAAUAUAUUUCAACGAAUGGUAGAGAUAUGUCAUAAUCGACGUGCAUGCAUGGCUAUAUAAGUAUGUAUCAUGGGGCCCACCACGUCCAUGAGGGGCCCAUGAAAAAUAUAAAAAGGUGGCUUACUUUAUGGAUGGUGGCACAUGCGACAAUCAAUAGCCGUCGCAUUUUGAACGGACGGCGCAGGUGUCGCGUCGCAUUCCAAUUUGUCCACGUGAUUUGUACUGUUCACGGCCAAUUAACGGCCCUUUUUCGUCCAGGGCUUCUUCUCUUGGUUAUUGUUUUUCACUUUGGGUUCUUCUUUUUUUUUUUUUUUUUUUUUAACUAUUAGACCACGGUUAUAAUAUAGCCUUUGGUGAAUCUCAGUACCGACUUUUUUUCAGUUUCAGAAAGAGCUCCGUGGCACGCAGGGUGUGAUGCCAAAAUGCCAGAUGCUUUGAAAGAGACCGCCGGUAUAGUAUGCGAGGUUGAGAUGAUUGCAGUCCGGUAUGAAAGAUGAUAUUAAGAGUGGUGAGAUUGGGUUUGGUGCGAUGAACACGUACGGAAGAAGAGAUUAAGGAUCAAAUGAAAAAAAAGAGUAAAAGUUACAAAUAAAUUGCAUAAUCAACCCUAAAUGUUAAGGAUCUAAUCGUAUUUAAAAAAAGAAAAGAAAAAAAGAUUGGGCACCAGAAAGAAAUUAGAAAAAAUAAGGUAUGCAUAUUUGAAUAGCUCUUCUCCAAAAAGCACUUACUUUAACAUAUUUUUAAUACAGCAGAAGCAGGAGCAAUAAAUUAGAGUUUUUACUUUUAAACUGUAGAAUUGAUCUCAUGUCUAAUUCCUGGUGCAGUAAAAUCAUGGGCUUGUUUUAUUUGCUAAACACUUACUUAGUGUUUGAAAAUGAGUGCUCUCUGUCUCUCUCUCUCUAGAUGUGGACUAAUUCAAAAGUUUGUAGGAAUUUCUCCAGCAAUCAGUGGCGGAUCCUGCGGACAUUUUCAACACACACACACACACAAAAAGUAGCAAUUCGCGAUUCAUCCCUCGAAACUUUUCAAAUUAUAUUGAUAUAAUUGUUGAAGAAUAAUGUUAUCUAUAUAUUUUAAACUAGAUAUAUAAUUCAUACCCUAUUUUUAUCGAAUAUCUAUUUUUUUUUUUUCACCGGUCUUAUCAAUUUUUUUAAUACUAAAAAUUUAAGAGAGUUUUGUACUUCAUGUGACGUAAAUGGAUCCCUCAAAUAAAUUGAAGCUCCACAUGUAUUCUCUAAGAAAUAACUUAUAUAUAUUUGUGUUUAUACCGUAAAAUACUGAGACUCGCAUGCAAAUAAUAUCUGCACGCUGAAAAAUAAAUUCUGGUUUGUGCAAGUUUUUUCAUUUGAGUGCUUUUCUUGCUGAAAAUGUGAAUUUUCAUAUCAAAAAGAAUGCCAUUAACUAAUUGAAAUAUUCACGAAGGCCAAAAUUUCAGCUCAAAACCGAUCACAUAAACAUUUAGAAGGGGUUUAUAUAUAAUAAUGCUAAACUAUAUUUAUAUAUAUGUGAGUAUCUUAACUGCAGUUCGAUCUGCGUGAGUUGCUUAUGAACCAAACAGUUCUUAAAAGUCUUUGUGAGACGACGACGGAAUUUGAAAAUGAGUUUAGUGUGAACAAAUUAGCAAGAAAACGAAAAGUUAGGCAAUAAUUUUAUAUGCCUCAAAGAAGAUUUUUUUUUUGAUUAAAAGAAAAGAAUGAGACAACUUAUGUGAGAGCAAUUGACACGAUUCUCAUUCAUCAUCCCACUUAUUAUUAUUAUUGCAUUUAUUUAUCAGUCUCUUUCAUAUAUAUGCAAUUAGAAAUCAAUGCUUAACAUUUGACUCUCCCCCGAUCUGGUGGAAACUAACAGUACAUCCUCCGCAUAUAAAAUUAGGCCAGCUUUGAUUUGGACUUUGGAGGAUUUAGACCUAAUUUUGGACCUCUCUCUCUCUCUCUCUCUCUCUCUCGUCUCUCUCUCUCUUCUCUAUAUACUAUAUAUAGAGAGAGACGAGAGAGAGGAGAGAGAAGAGAGAGAAGAGAAGAGAGAGAGGGAGAGAGAGAGAGGAGAGAGAGAGAGAGUUGGGGACUGGGCUAUUAUUUAAGUAGCAAAAUUUCAUUGUGCUACGCAGUUUUUUAGCCAUGGAGGAUCAAUUCUAGUUCAUUAUUUCUAACCAUUGGACUUAAAUACUAUAAACCAAAUGGGGCCACUCAACUUAAAGAUAAAAUAUCAUUCUGUCUAUAUUUUUCAGUCAAGGGUUAAAUAUAGAGAAGCAAAAAAAGAAGUGUAUUAGAAUAUAUAUAGAUAAUAAUAAAUAUGAUAUAUAUAUAUAAUAUAAUAAUAUAUAUAUAUAUAGAGAUUGAGCUAGAUACUCUCAGAUAGAUAACGGGGCGUCAAUUACACUAUCGAGAUUGUUUUCACGAUGAAAUAAGGCCUUCCAAAUAGACGAUCGCAGGCUCCGAAAUUGAACAUGAUCUUAUACCUUUGACAGUGCUUUAGAAAUCAAAUUUAAUCUUUUCGACAUCAUUUUAAACUAAUGAUCAAAGGGUUUCAAAUUUGUAAUUUAAUGUGUGGAUAAGAAAACGUGUAUUUCGUUUAACAGAUGUAAAAGAAUAUCAAAAUACAAUUUAUAUUUUGUUAGGAAAAUUCUAUUAAAUAUUUAAAACAAGAUCCUAUCACUCUUGGAUCUUCGAUUACAAGACUCCUUCUCAUUAUUUCAAAGAAUAUUCCAUUUCAGCACUUAUUUUUUGUUCACCUCAGAUGGAUGUAAGAACAAAUUAAUACGCAAAGUCCCAACAGAUGAAUAAUUUGAUUAUCUAGAAGUAAGUAUUUAAAAUGGUUACUAGCUAAUAUUUAACGGAGCACCGAUGUCAAAUUGGAAGACAAUCUCAUCAUCGAAACAAAAAACUCGAACUAGUAAAACGCCCAUUUACUAUGAGAGAGUAAUUCUAGCACAACUCACUAUAUAUUAUAAUACAUACUAAAUAUAUAGAAGUUGAGCCAUAGAAAUAUAAAAAGAAUAACAAACGGAAGCUCCGUUGCAGACCCAUUGUUAUUCAGGCAUGGAGCCUCCAACAUCCGGAACGAUCGCAUCGUUGACAUAUGAAUCUUACAACUUUGAAGUGUUUACGACAAUUAAUUUAUACAUUUUCGAUAUUAUUCUCUUAUUCCAUCGACCAUGGACACAAAAAUGACACGGCUGAAAAUGAAUAUUCUUAAAAUGACGUAGAGUCUUGUUCAAGAUCAAGAGUAUAGAUCUUGUUUUAAAUAUUUAAAAAUUUUCUACAAAAAUUCAAUUUAUUGAAAUCUUUAGCAGUUACAAACGAACAAACGUUCAUCUCUAUUACCAUAAAUUACAGAAAUUUGAAAACCCUUUGAUCAUUAGGCAGAAUGAAUGUCGAAGAACGAUGAUUUGAAAUUGUUCUAAAACUUCAAGUGGUAUAUGAUUAAUGUUUCAUCGGUUCCGAUCGACGAUUUGGUGGACUCUAAUCAUCAAAAUAAAUGGAUGCACGGAGCCGCUUUGCUAUCGAUAGUAUUAUAGCUCAACAUAGUAUAUAUAUAUAUAUAUAUAUAUAUAUAUAUAUAUAUAUAUAUAUAGUCCGGCUGCUAUGCUAUCGGUAGUACGGAAGCUUCCGUGCUACCAAGCUGUUUUCGAUGAUGCGGCUUCCAAAUCGACGAUCGGCUCCGUUAGACUUGAUCUACACUAUUGGAAGUAUUUGAAAACUAAAUUUCAAAAUUUUUCGAUAUCAUUUGGCUAGUAAUCAAAAGGUCUCAAAAUUGACAAUUUUAAUGGUAGAUGUGAUGCAUUUGUAAAUUUAACGGUGUAAAACAAUCCAAAUCAGAUGAAAUUUUUAUAAAAACUUUUUUUUUUACUAUUUAGAGUAAGAUCAGUAUAUCUGAUCUUAAAUUCAAGUCUUCUAUCAUCAUUUUUUAUUAGAUUUUUAUUUUCAGUCAUUCAUUUUUAGACUACUCGUUUGAUAGAUAAAUGAUACCGAAAAACUAUGAAAUUUAGUUUCUAAAUACUUUCAAUAAUGUAGAUAAAGUCUAACGGAGCCGAUCAUUGAUUUGGAAGUGACGUCAUUGAAAACAACUUGGUAGCACGGAAGCGUCCGUGCUACCGAUAGUAUAGCAGCCUAGCUCUAUAUAUAUAUUUAUAUAUCCAAAUUAGAUGACAUGCACUUGUAAGUUUAUGGGCCAAAAAAAAAACAUGCCUAAAUUGGUAAUUAACAAAAAUAAAAUUCAAUAUAUGAUUUUUUUUGUUUGAUUAAUUAGUGUUAUUGUACUUAAUUAUCAGACUAGUCAUGAGGUCAAGCUUAAUUCCUCCUUAGGGCAUGUUCGUUAGUCAUGAACACUUAACGGCCAUACCUAACUCAAUUGGUUAGGAACUUAAGAGCUUAAUGGUAGGUAUAUAUCCAAUAUCCCAACUUUGAAGUCUAAUUAUUUUAUAUUUUUAACUAAGUUUAUUUAAAAAAAAUGAAUGAUAACUAUUUGCACCUUAUACCUGUAUGAUUUAUAUGUCACACUUAUUUGUCUUAAGCAUGACAUAUAAAAUGCGAACACAUUGAUAUAUAUAUAGACAGAGAUUAUAUGAUAGACUACCUAAAAUCAAAUUAGCCAAUGAAUAUGAAGGUAACUUUUCCAUCUAAAUUCGGGCGAAAAUUAAUCACCACUGAUUUUGUAGAGAAGCGAUGAAAUGGAUUAAAUUUGGUCAAAAUGGAAGUGGAGAAAGGCUAAAUUGUAUUCCCAUUGAGGAACACUGUACACCAACAGCAACCGCUUCGGAUACAAUCAAUUUAGGUUGUUGGAAUCAAACAAAAAACUUUUAUAGUCCACGUACAACAUGUUGGCUAAAGCAAAGUUCAAAAUUUUGGUCACAUUUGGGUAAAUAAAUUCGAGCUAAAUUCGAACUUUGGACCACGUAAUUAAAAACAUUUGCAUUAAUUAUGAAAAUUGUACAAAAUUACUGUUAGGCUUGGUCUAUAGAUUAAGUCUACAGUACAAUCUUAUUAUUAGUUUUUUUUUAACUGUUUGUAAAAUAUGAAAGUCUUAAAUUUACUGUUAUUAUUGAAAAAAAAAUUCUUUAUUGUUGUUACUGAAACAUGAUUUGAGGUAAAACAAAAACAAAAAGUUAAUAAUAUCAAUAGACGAGGCCUCAAAUUUUGCAACACGCAACAUUUUCUUUUGCGAUAUAUCUCUUCAUUAAUUACACCCAACUCAUCUAAUGAUGUUGUCCUAAUCGCUCCAAAGUUGCUAUCCACCAACUAAUUUUAACUCUUUUCCUUUUUUUGGUAAACUUAUUAUUUAAUUCAUAAUCAUUUGUUAGAACAGUUAUACAAACAUGCCAUUUUUAUGCAUGCAGUAAUAUAUAUAUUAUAUAUUAAUUAAUGUGUGGUAGAUGCAAUCUACCAAGUUGUCCACUUCUCUCCUAUCUACUUUUUGUUGUAGAGAGAGUUCUAAGCAAAAAUAAUAUAAUGUUAGGCUCAAUUUGUAUAUAUAUAUAUUGAUUAUUUUUAUCUCUCUCUCUCUCUAUUGUCUUCUUCAUUGUAAAGAAAUAGAGUUUAUGGCGCGCAUGCGAAAGAGAGAGAAAAGUUUUAGGUUGUUAAAUUUUCUACUUAGGAUCAGAAGCUAGCAUUCAUUAUUUGAUAGCAAUGAUGGUUAAUUAAGAUGAUGAUUAGUUGCUAGAGGUUUGAAUUGCACCUAACCACGUGCUUUGAUGUAAAAUAAUAUCUAAAUAAAUAUGGCAUCUGAUACCCUGAUAAUUUGUCUUUGUGGAAUGAUAAUGUAUUGCUCAACUAAUGUAUCACGCAUAAAGUAAUAAUGAUUUACAAUAGAAGCACACACGAGAGAUACCCAGAGAUUGGUUUAUCGAAAACGCUUUUGAUCAUUUUCAAUUAAGGAUAUAUACGUAUAUGUGACGCAUUAGUUUGUAGACACAUUAAUAGCCUAUAAAAACAGUACUUGGGCUAAUUAUACACCACACUACACUAGUGAUCGACAAUAAAGUUGAAUAAUAGAAACUUUUUAUCAUCAAAAAUAGGACCUAAAAAAGUUGUCAAAAUGUCAAAUAAGUAGGGAUCGAGGUGCGUUAAAAAAAAGCCUAUGGAGCUCUAGUGAUUAUAAUAUGCAAGGGUUGGUACCAAAAAGGAAAAAAGGAAAUAAUAUUUUCUUCUUCUUUUUCCUCACUCUUUCAUUGAGGUUGGCUUUGAGUCCUUUUCUUUGACCAGUACAUCAUAUCUAGUUUAAUUGUUUAUUCCUAUCAAUUAUCCUAAUUAAUAUGAAAUCUCAUUAGUAAGUAAUAACCCAGCCAUGUACAUAAAUCAUAUUCUAUCAUUGAAGCAACAUUGAUAUUUCACCAAUCCUUGCUCAAUGCACUCUCCUUGUAAAUUUCAACCACGUGACUAAUUGCUAUAUUGAAAAUAGAGCCCCUACAUGCACAGUUAGAUCCCUUCCGACAAAAGGAAACGGGAAAAAGUUGGGUUUAAAUUAGAAGUGUUGGUUAGAGUGGAUUUAAGAAGCUUCCUUUGAGUGGCCGGAGAAUAUAUAUAUAUAUAUAUAUAUAUAUAGAGAGAGAGAGAGAGAGAGAGAGAGAGAGAGAGAGAGAGAGAGAGAGAGUUUUGCUAGAAUNACAUCAUUUGCCUAAUGAUCAAAGGGUUUCAAAAUUUGUAAUUUUAAUGAUCGAUAAGAGACGUUUUCUCGUUUAACGGCGUAAAGAUAUCCAAAUCAAUUGAAUUUUUGUUAGAAAAUUCUUUAAACUAUUUAAAACAAGAUCUAUACUCUUGAUCUUGAUUACAAGACUCCUAUCAUUAUUUUUUAAAGAGUAUUCAUUUUCAGCCAUUCAUUUUUCUGUUCACUUGAUGGAUAAAAGAAUAAUAUCGAAAGUGCGUGAAAUUUGAUUUCUAGGUAGUUUAAAUGGUUUAGAUCAUAUUUAACGGAGCCGAUCGUCAAUUUGGAAGCUCUAUCAUUUAAAACAAAUCGGUAGUAAAACGGCUUAUUUACUACUGAUAGUAUUCUAGCUCAACCCUAUAUAUAUAUAUAGUGUAGGAUUACUAUACUAUUGGAAGUACGUAUAGAAGAUUUAAUACUUCCGAUUUUUUAACCCUUGGAUUAACAAUUGUACGUUUGGGAUGAUUACAGUCCCUUCUAGGGUUGAAUCUAGUGGUCCCUACAGGAUAAUAAUAUUAAUCCAAAAAUUAAAAAUAAUUAAAGGAACUGAUCUAAGGGUCAAAAAGUCGAAAAUACCAAAUCCUCUAUAUUUUCGAUAGCAUAGUAACUCUACUCUAUACUGUACAAUUCUUGAUCUAAGGGUCAAAAAAUCGAAAGUAUCAAAUCUUCUAUAUUUCCGGUGGCAUAGUAGCUCUACACACUAUAUAUAUAUAUAUAUAUAUAUAUAUAUAUANUAUAUAGUUUAUUAUUAAUGGCUAUUUACUAACCAAACAUCUUUUUUUUUUAUGCACAUCAAUGCCGGAAAUGAACGUGUGGUAUAUCAAGUAGUACAAAUGUUUAUUUCCUGUUGAAUAUAUUGAAAUUACUAUUUUUUAACAUAAUAUCGGAGUAGAAAAUUUCUGAGUUCGAGUUCCGUCAGACUCUAAAUUUUAUUUAAUUUUCUCUCGAUAAUUAGGUUUAUGUUUUGAAUCUAUCAAAAAAAUCUCAAUCUCCGAUACCAGGAAUAACAAUUAUUUCACAUAAUUACACAUUUCCAAAUACUUGCCAUGCUAGUUUUAUAAACAAUAACAAUAUGUCUUGCCUGUAAGUAUAUAUAUCUCACUCACACUCGCGUGCGCGCACACACACACUACAUCUCCAUCUAAAUCAAGCCAAAUAAUGAGACUCUUCGCAUGAAUUAUAACAAAAAAGAAAAUUUAAUUUUGUACACUUCGCAUUGUUUCUAAGCUUUUCUCUCCCGCUAUCUCAUUACUCACAACAAGGACGUACACAAUUUAAAAUACUGAAUAUUCUGUAGGGGGAAUAUUGCGCUACAAUAAAAUAUAUUUUAAACGAUGCUUUUUAAACGACGUUUUAUUUUAGCGUCUUUAAUAUUUGGCAUUUAGUGACACUAUGAUUAAGCGUCGCCAAUAAAUAUAUUUUUAUCAAAUAUUUACAAAUUUUUUCCGACGCUAUAUUAAAACGUCGGUAUAUUUAUCCCGACAUAUUUAUUUAACGACUCUUUACUCGACGCUUUUACAAGCAUCGAAAUUUUUUUUGCCGACGUUUUAAAGCGUCGCUAAUUAUUGUUUAAAGUGUUGUGCAAGAUUUUUUGUAGUUGCCAACUUAUGUCACACUCCCAUGCAUGCCCAAAUACCGUACAGAUGAAAACUAGUGAUUGAUUUAAAUUUCAAAUUUAAGACGUGACAACUAACUAGAACAUCAUCCUAACAAAAUUGAAUUACUCAAAUAGCUGCUGCACUUUGCGCGCAAUAUCAAAAGUGUCAAAGGCGAAAUAACUACACCGUUCUAGCCAUUUGGCUCGCUUAUUUAAGACAUGACAACCAACGAGAACAUCAUCGAUCCUUACAAAAUUGAAUUACUCAAUCAAUAGCUGCUGCACUUUGCGGGCAUUAUCAGAAGUGUCGAAGAAGACGAAAUAACUACACUAUUCAAGCACCUUCGAUCCGCAAUAACAAUAUUUAAAAUCUAAGUACAGGAAAUCACUUAAUAAUAAUAUAAUUUGAUUUAGAAGGACCGGUCCAUGGUGGAUUAAGUCUACGCAGUAAUUGAUUCUUUCGCGAGGGCCCACCUCAGAGCGACCGCACAGUGGAACUGCGCCACGUGUCCAAGCGAUCAACGAGAUCUGAGAUGGACACGUGUAUUGAUACCAGAUACUGUAUUACGUACGUUGCAGUGGGUUUUGGAUUUAGUUCGAAUAAAAUAUUAAAAAAUUAUUAUACGAGGUUCCAAAUUUAAAUUUCGACCAAACUUUGGGUUUCAUUUAAUAUCACUUCUUUUUAAAUUGGAGCUAGUUAAAUGCAGCAAAUAUAAACAAUACAUGAGAAAAAUAUCCCAAUAUGGUAGUAAACAAUGGACAACUUUAUUUUGCAAUUGAUCUACAAGUUAAUAACAGUGAUUAUAUAUAGCUUUUGUGAAAGUUACAAUUAAAAAUGUGAAUUUAUCACACCUUCCUGCUGAUCAACAAAUAUUAUUAUAUUAACCAAACUUAUCAAAUCUCACUUGGAUACAUACACCUUUACAAACCAAUAGGAAAAGAACAGUUCUACUGCAUAACACAAACACUACAAGUUCCUUUUACACAAUCACUUUGGUGGUUCAGGAAUUACACAAGCUAGCAUAUAGUUCUGAUAUAGGACAUAAAUCGCCGUAUAUUUAUCCUUUAUUCUAUGUUACUUUGCCCUGUAGUUCAGAAGGAUUUACAAAAAUUAAGCGUCGCGUUGUUUCUUGAUAAUUCGCUUACAGCGGAAUCCAUGCCUGCAUUAUAGAUUAAAACAAGGCUGGUAGUUUAUCAAACAAUGAGGAAAAACUGAGUUGAAUAAAAUGUUACGAUUAUCUAAUCUUUUGCCUUUUAUGCCCGAAAUGUCGAGUGAUUCUAGGAUGAGGGGUUGAUUUUAUGAUUCUUCUAAAGUUCGGUGACUACCUGUUCAUUCUAAGUUAUGUUAAUGCUACAGAAGGUAAGUUUAUGCACCUUAAUUGACCCAGUUUCAGUACCGCAGAAAAUAGUGUCAUUUGCUGCAAGAAGGCAUGUAAUCUUGCUCCCUGCUGAUAAUCUGCCUACCUUCUGCUGCUUCUCUCUCAACCAAAUCUACAGAAAGUUACUGUGUUUUACAAUCAAAAUAAUCGAAAGAUAAAAAAUAAAAAGAAUAGCAAAUUAAAUUGAACUUUACUUUAUUUCUCGACCAGUUAAAUCCCCCAUUUACCUGAAGUGUCAUCGGAGUUCUACUCGAGUUCAAGUAAAUGAAGUCCUCCACUAUUGCCAUUGCCUGCACAUCCACUCCCCUCGACAUUGCAAUCGAGACUUGAGGUUGGCGGCGUCUUCUCCAAUCCUGGUUUUUUUUCUUCCGUGUCAAAUUGAAUAAAAAUGGUGAAAGCAAAACUUUCGGUUGGAUGCAGAACAGGUACCUUUAUGCUAGAUCCUUCAACAGUAGCACCAGCCAAGUACAUCCAGUCUUUAUAAAUUUGGAUUGAAUUUAUGAGCUGUUUUCUGAUCCUCCAGAUUUUUGUUGGCGCCCUUAUCUCGAUCUUAUUGUCCUCCAUUAUAUCUAUCUCCUGAAAAACCAGAUUUGUGGAUUGAAGAAAACUAAUUCUAGAGUGAUUACAUUAAGACCCCUUCCUGCUAGCAGCUUAUGCAGAAAUACUGUUUGAGUAAAGGUGUUCUAAGAAGUAUAACAGGUUUGUUAUUAAAAUCUCCUCAUUUGCUUCUUGCUGCAGCUGAAGUAGAAACAUCAAUAGGAGCCUCUGCUAACCCAAAAGCUAAUUUUAGCUUCUCUCACAGCUAAAAAUUCAUAUAUUUGUUAAACACAUGCCUGAUUUAUGUAAGCAUCUACAUUGUGUAGUAGACAAGUUGUUCAAAACAAAUAGGCACUAGUAACCAUAAAUGCAAGCUUAACAUUGUUGAAUGUUGCUGGAAAUAUAUUGAACAAACCUGUAUGCUGGAGUCAGCGCAUCCAAGGUAAGCUCUCCCCUGGGCUAUAGCUACGCAUUUAACAUGUUUAUUCUUGCAGAUAGUUUGCGCACUUCUUGAUGCAUGGGAAACCUGAAUAAUUUCCGCUCAAACAUGAAGACAAGAUAAUAUGCUUCCAUAAUUUAAGUAUUUCAAAUCGAAUAAUUUGAACUUCAUAUUUUAAAUUGCAUAAAAAAAAUAAAGAAAUAAUUUCUUACUUUGAUACUGCGGUUCUGCAUUAUUACAAUAAUUUUGUCACCAUAACUGUCCAACUUUUGAACUGGUUCUUUCAUCUGUAUCACUUCAACACAUUCAAGCUUACCUUGUACCGUUUUCCAAACCUAUAGAGAAAAAAUAUUGUAUAUGAGUUUUUAUUCUCAUGCACUUUUCCAAUUUUCAGGCUAAAAGAUACAAUAAUAGUAUUUACCCGAAUAGAUUUAUCGCAAGAUCCACUUAAGAGAUUGUCCCCAGGUUCAAAAAGAGCAAAGCAAGUCACAGCUUUCUUGUGUUCUUUAACCUCUGUUGCGAGCACCGCUCUUUGUCGUUUGAUGUCCCAGGCCUAAAUUUCAACAUCUACUUAUUAGACCUUGAACCCACACCCCCCAAACCAACCACACACACACAAAAAAAAGAAUGUGCAUUUGCUAUUUGAUAUGCUACAUGAUUUCCAUUUUAUGCUCAGAGAAAGAAGACAUGUUAUGUGGCAUAUAUCAUCAAUCUCGUGCUGGUACUCUGAAUAUGCUACUGCUGUGAGACUUGCAGAUAUUUACAUAUAUUCCCCUGUAAUUAUCAGUUUACAUACAAAUCCCUGCACAAUCUAAGUUUUGUUAUUUUCCUUCAAAAACUGGAAUUUUCUUGUAGUUGUAAGGUAGGCCCCCACUAAAAAAAAAAUAAAAAAAAUCUUAUCUCAGACAACUGCUUACCUUAAUGGUACCAUCAGAAUAACCAGCAUAGAGUUGCCCUUUGAAAAAGGUAAUAGCAGUUGCAGCACCAUUACCAGCUUGGCCUACUUCUAAAAUUUGUGUAUGUACACAAGAGACGCGCUGCAAAUUGCCAUUAGGUUCAAUUAGAUCUCAUGCAGUUACAGGUCCCAAACAAUAAAAUAUUUGUGUAGAGUACGUAAAAAUGUACAGACCUUACGACAGCUCUAGGGCAUUUCAAAAGGACUACCAAAACUCGAAAUUCAGAUUUUAAUACCUAUCAAUUUUGAUUUCAGAAAAGUCUGUCAAAUUCUGUCAAACCUCAAACUUCAUUCUUAAUCCGGGAGAAUUGAGGACAAAAGGACAAGCAUCUUAUAUGUAUAACAUAUAUCUUUCAUUGUCAAAAAUCUGGGUACUCUUGAAAUUGAGAACUCUUUAGCUGAACUAACCGGCUUGGUUGGAAUGAAGUAAUCCGUCACUUUUAGUAACUCUUCAGCCAUCCAUGUAACAGGAGAGAGGCGUCUAAGAGAUUCCCGUAAACCCUCUGAAAAAUUCAUCAAUUUCUGCUUCCCUGCAUUUAAAAAGAAAGGAAAAAAAAAAAAGAAAAAAAGGAGAUCCUUGAAUGGCAGCAUGAACGAACAAAAACUGAAUUGAAACUCCCGAAAAGGUUGCCGCAAUUUGCCCUAUAUAAUUUCCUUCAAACAUAUUUACUACCUUCAAACAUAUUUACUAAUCUAUGAAUUCAACAGCAUCCUUUAGAAUUACCUUUACCAGAAGUGUAAUUAUACACAGAGAGGCAAGCCAGAAUCCUUUCAUCGAGAUCUGAACCAGGAUGGAGAAAGCGGGAUACAUCACCUAGCAGGAUCUCACAAGCAGAAUAUCUAAGGUCGUUGGGACCCGCAGUAGCCAUUUCAUUUCCUAGCCAUGAGGCACAUACAAGACAGUCAUGGGAAACAUUCUUUAUUUUGCUUUGCAUUCCUUUAGCUAAAGCAGUAAAGACAGAAGUCCCGAUUUUGAUAAUACCCCGCGCAGCUCUCGCACUCCAUGUACUUGUUUCAGAAUCCUGCAUGAUUUGUGGAUUUUAUUUUUUUGCAUAAUUAUAUAAUUUUGAAACCGAGAAGUUUCAAUUUGGUAAGAAAAUACAGAUAUCUAAUUUAGUUUGGUUUGACUUCUUUUGGUGCAUGGGGACUUUUAUAUGAAUAGCCUGCAAAUUCAUUUAUUCGAAUCUAUACAUGGCAAAAAGUGCAGCUUAUUACAAAAAUUUCCUUAUCUUAAGUUGGUGCGUGAAUUCAUGAGAAAGAAGUAUCUUAAAAUUGGGUGAUAGUGAAAUACAAGGGUACAUAUCUGAGAAAGGACAUUUUUAAAGGGCAUAUGCAGUAAUGUAACAUAAGUAAUUUUGCAGGGGAACACAGAUGAAUAUAUUCAGUGUGAAUAAUGUGAAUAGGAAUAGGAAUUUCGCUUGAAAUACUCACCUGCAGGCAAGGGUCAAUCCAGUCAAUGUUUCUGAUCAUGUUCCGAUGACAAAUUGAUGUUAAGCCGGCCUUUCUUACUAACCAAGCAGCUGUAUAUGUUUCUCCUGUCCACGAAUAAGUUCCUCCAAGAUUUGAAAGAAUAAAUGCAGCUAGUGCCCGCGUACUGCUAUUCUCACCAGAGGCUAAUGAUUCUAAUAGGGCUUCCACUGCCUCCUCUUUAAAUACACUCUUACCAGUAGAUUUCCCCUGUUACAUAUUGAAUAUGAAUAAUUUUUUAUCCUCUUUGUAGCUAUAUUUUCUAUUUAAAAUAAAUUUAGACAAGCAUAAAUUCCUUUCUGAAAUGAGAACAUUAACAAUGAACUCAUAGUUUCAGUAUGGUCGAGUUGCAGAAAUGGUAGUUUUUUGAUGUUUUGUUUGUAAUGAUGAUGUGGACAUGGCUUUUCUUUAGGUGAUUGACUAACUAAAGGAAUUGUUCUGCAGAACACUUCGAGGACUGGAAUGUCAAUUGAAACUCUGAGGUUGUAAUGGAAAUCUUGAUCAAACUUCAGGGGCCUAAAUUUGUGAUUAAAUCCUCUGAAUAUGAUAUAAAACUUAUUUUGACAAGGGCAGUGUAAUUUCACAUUUCUAAACCGAAGAGGAAAAUGGAUGAUCAUCCUUAUUAUAUCUCCUACAUUUCUCUUUUAUAGUAUACAAUUUUCUUGCCCCUGGUAACUCCAAAAGGCAAUCCAUUGCUCUGAACAAGGAAAAUAAAUGCACUAUACUUUAGGAAAUUAUACCAGAAUAUCUAAUUGGAUCAAAAGAUUUGCUGCCAAAAGUCGGUGCUCGAGAUCAGAUUGACGAAUACAGGCCAUUAAUGUAUGCAUAAUGCUAAUACCUCCUUGUUGCCGUAUCUGUUGAAGAAGAUUAAUAGCUGAGGACCUGAAGAAUAUUAGUGCUAGAACUCAGAAAGGUUAGUUUAUUGGAUCAGUAUAUCACCGAAUAUAAAUACAUGCAAAAAGUUCUCAGCUUUUCACAUCAAGUGCAUGUUUGGCCUGGCUGAAGCUUAACAUAAAAAAGUGCAGUUUGUAGAGCUGUUCAAGGACUAACUCUUUUUUUUUUUCUGUGUAAAUUAUCCUUUACAGCUUCUCACUGCAAUAGAAGCAGAACCACCGAAUUGGAUCUGCUUCUGGAACCCAAAAGUUCAUUUUAGCUUUCUAUCACAGCAAAAGCUCCAAAUUGUUGGUAAGUCAAAUACCUCAAUCCUCGAAGCUUUUGCUUUCUGAAUAAUGAAAGCAGUUCUGGAAGCCUAACAAACAGGUAAUAAAGGCAGUUUGAGGUUUUAAGUGGUUUUAUGAAGCAGUAAUACAGUUUUAGUAACAUCCUUACCAGUAGCUUUUCUUCACAACAGAAGUAAAACUCCUAGAGUAGAGAAGCUCUAGACAAUUUUUAGUAAAAUGCCGAGUUUCCAGAAGCUUAUGCUUGGGCGAUCAUUGCAGAAGCUAGGCCAAACAAGACAAAAUGUUGCAAAGAGACUAGUAUACUAGAUAUGAAAAAUGCUACAAGCUAAUUCAUCAGUUAGAAAUAGAUUUGAGUAUAAAAUAUACCGAGGCAUUUGAAGAAUCUCGUAGAAGUAUUCAAGUGCGGUGAAUUUCGCACGCCUCUCCUUUCUUUUGAGGAGAUGAAGGAAUGGGUCAACAGGAGUGACUUGUGAUAAAAAAUUUUUGCAGUUUCCAUUUAAUCGCAUACACCUAACAAGAAUAGCUGCCAAGGCCACACCUUCUUCCAAGUUGUUAUUCAUUGCCACAUUUACUAGCUUAGAGAGGAUUGGCAGAGAACUAAUUGCUGCCAAGUGAAUAUUGUUCGUUACAUAAUCAAACGAAGUAACUAAAACUUCGAUCAUGGAGAUUGAAGCCGCUGUCGGUGUUAUUGGUAAUAACGAAAGCCCCUUUAGGCCUUUUGAAUUGCAAGCAACCUCCACGAGAGCUGGUAAGAUUUCUAAGGUUUUCAUCUCCAGAGGUGAAGGGUUUAACAAAUAAAUAAGAAGAGCGACUUCAUGAACAUUUCUCUUUAAGGCAUUACCCAAAUCAUAUAGAAAUGAUUCCUUUCUCUUAAUGUCUUCUAAAAUACUUCUGUCUUCUGAUAUUAGUAGAAGAAGUAUGUACACGGAUGCCCUGAUCACCUUCUCCUUCUUGGAGGUUGAAAUGCUAUCCAUUAACUGCUCGAGGAUAUCUCGUUUUAUUGUACCGUACAUAAACUCUGAUUUACCUUCUAGCAAAUCCAAUAUAUUUGUAAAUUCAAAUUCAGAAUCUGCAAAUUUUAAUGCUUUCUCAAACCUUUCCGAAAUUUCUAUUUGAGUAUCUUUCCCACAAGUCGAACUUCCGUCACUCCAAUCCUUCUCGCUGCUUGAAAAGCUUAUAAUUUUUCUUGCGAAGCUUCCACGAGAAACUAGUUCAGAUAAGCUAUACUUCUUCAGAAACAUUUUGCUAAAGCAUCUGAGAUUAUGCCUUAGUGGACUUUCUCGAUUAGUCUCUUCUUUCACACCAUAUUUGAAGGAAUAUGGCUCUACCUCUCUAAAAUCUAAGAUUGAAUUUUGUAAAUUGCUGAGUGAACCUUGUGAUCUACUAGACAGUAGGUAGCUUGUAUUUGGUUCGAAAGAUUCCUCAUGAACUGGGUAUUUUGGAGAUUCAUGAUAGAAUUUUGUACACUCAGGAGAUGUGCACCAGGAUGCACGGACUCUGUUAAUAUUUGCACAGUUAUAAAGUUGGUUAGAGCAAUAAAACAUAAAAUAUUUCAGUACAAGCCAAUAAAGUACCUUUCACCAAGCUUCGAUGCUAAAAGAUCUGCAUCUAUUGGCAUAAUCUUUGCUGAACUUUCUUUAUGACUCAAAUGUACCUGUCCAAACGAAAUAAAAAUAGUUCAGGUCAAAUAAAUCUAGCAAAUAAUCUUUUCUCAUGAUGAUCUGGUUGUGAACAUAUUAUUACCCUCAUUAGCUAGAAAAGUUAGAUUUCUUUUAAGUAUUUAAAUGCAUAAUGCGACAUUUAACUUUUUUUAUUACAAAACUGGCUUCUUCCCAUGAAUUAGAUGACUUCCCAACUUAAACAUAAGGGUUCCUUUAUACGCUUCAAGGUAUAUUUUUACAUAUAAAUUUAGAUUCUGAAGGGGUAAAUAUAUGUAAAUAGAUGAUUUUGCAGGGAUGCACACACAUAUAUAUAUAUAUUGAAUAUCCCCACAAAGAAUACAUGCAAGUGACAAUGUUACCUCUGAAUCACUUGCCUCUAUUGAAUCAACAUUUGAGUAGAAGGAAAUUGGUGAAUCUGAUUGGGAUUCUUCAAGCAUAUCUUGGAGACACCUCAUUUCGAAGUUUUCCUUCACCUCUUCUUGAAAUACUUUGUCGAAACUCUUAAGAAGAGAAUGACCAUCAUUUAGUUCAGCAAAACCACCACAUCUCUUGAAAUUGGAUGUAGAGGCCUUAUCGUUAUCUACUGUAAUUCCAUUACCCACUAAACAGGCUUGUGUAUCCUGCAGAAAUAAGAAAUAUACAGUAAAAUUCACAAGAUAUAUUGGUUUUUUAUGAGAAUAUUUUGCGAUAGUAUUUAUAGUAGAAUGCUAAAUAAAUUUAUUUAGUCAUUUAUAUCUUUUUGUUAUAGUAAGUAAUUAUGCACAGUUUAGGAUUUGUUAUCAUAGUGCGUGCAAUUUGAACAUGUCAGCAACAAUUCAAAAACAAGUUUGACUCAGCUUUCUAGAACAGCUUCUCCACGGGAGUACAAACUGGGAACUUUGUCCUUGUACAGGCCGGAUUUGUAAAGAAAACUCCUAGAGCUUUUGCUCAAGUGUUUUGCAGGGGUCACAAUUCAAUAUUAGUUGCAUGCAUGAAAAUCAUGACUGUGAAGGAUCCAUCACUUACAUGCUGAAGAUUCGGCCUGCUAAGUAUGAGAGAGCUCUCAAAUCUCGUCCCAGGAAUCUGUCUAUACCUGUUCAUUGACAAUGAUCGAAGAUGAGAUGCAGAGUACUGGAAUAGUAUUAUACUUGAAAUUUGCAGAAGUUUAAACAGCUGAGUACUAGAAUAAAACAUAAUAAUUAGCGAUAGAUUUCCAAAAACUCAAUUUUCACAUCAAUGCAAACGUUUGCGUGUUCUAAUUCUAUCUUAUGCCCUACAAAUCAACCUCAUAUAUUCAUUCUUGUUCAUCCAUGAGUUGCAAGCAGCAGCAUCGUUACUUUGUUUUUAUUGCUGUCACUAAUGCAUGCAAAUGAGGCAUACCACAAUAGGCGGCGGCAGCUUCUGAAGCAUUUCGUUGCAAAUUAUGCAUGCAUAUCAAGAAAACGAACCAAUUACUCACCGAUGAGCGCACGGCUCAAUCUCACGAUCCUCACAAGCCGAGAAUUUCUUAUUCCACGGCGGAAUCUCGCCGUAGGAAACCACCUGGUAGUACAUCAACCAGUACUUGUACCUCCUCCCCUGCUUCCUCGCUGCCUCGUCCGCUUCCUCCUCAGUCCCCCCCGCACUCGUAGUUUUAUCCUCAAAGAGGCUUUUCCACAAGCACGUCGCGAGCACCGUUCUAACCAACUUGGGGAACACUAUCACCGACUGCAAGAAAUUCAUGGUCAUCUGCCACUGAUCCCCCCGAAGCUUCCGAACCAGGGCGAGGUAGAAAUAGGAGUAGCAAACAAUGUAUCUGUUCUCAAUUCCCCCGAUUCUCCCCUCUUCAUCCAACAAGGCGGGAACUUGCAGCAUCUUCUCGGAGCCGGCGAGCCGAGAGGCCCUCUCCUCGGGCGAACCGGAGGUGAUCGCGAGCUCGAGGGAUUCGACCCCCCAGUAGAGGUUGGAGAGCACGGACUGGUCGGAGAACUCGAAGAAGCCGCGGGUGGGGCCGGAGAGGCUGGCGCGGCAGGCGAGGUGGAGGGCGGCGCGGGCUGCGGGGUCGGAGAGGAGGCGGCGGAUGUGGCGGUCGACGAAGGCGACGAGUGAGUGGGUGGAGUGAAGGUCGAGUCUUUGGGGGAGGUGGGUGGUGGUUGGGGAGGAGGAGGAGGAGGAGGGGGAGGUGGAGAGCGCCAUGGGAGGAGGAGGAGGUGGGAGUGGAGAAUUGGGGGAUCGGGGAGGAGGAGAUAAGGGAGAGGGAGGAGAGAGGGAGAGAGAUGGGGAGCAUGGAAUGGAACGUUCGCUCGUGAGUGGAAUGGACAAGAUACAAGGAGGGUGAGCCCCGCGCUACGGAGAAGACGACGUGCUCUGUGACCGAAGACGACGUGCUCCGUGACCGUUGCGACCAAGUGCUUUUUCGCGCCACGGGACAAGUUUCAGAGUCUCUCUCUCUCUCUCGAUCUUUCUUUCGCGCCACAUGAGAGCCAUGUACUCGGGCUUUUUUUGCAAAUAGCCCCCUUACAAAANAACUUUCUUUCGCGCCACAUGAGAGCCAUGUACUCUCUCUCUCUCUCUCUCUCUCUCUCUCUCUCCCCCCUUUUUUUUAAUCAUCUUUUUCAGGUCCAGAUGAAAGUAAAAAAGACCGAUUCACUCUUUUACGUACCUCAUUAUUUCUUACGUUAUGGAAAUGUUUGAUUCAUCUAGACUUUAAAAUUAAUAAAUUUAUUUAUUUUCAAUUAUAAAAUUAAAAUAAAAUUUAUUAAUUUUGAUUGUUGCUAUUUAUUUUAUGUAAAUAGGAUUUUAAUUUCUAUUCCAUUCUGGAAUGAGAAUGGCCAGAUUUAUUAAUGAUCCAAUCGGAUUUUAAUCAUUACAAAGUAAAAUACUUAAAAUUCUCUCUUUCAGCAACAACUCCUUUCCUCUUCUUUUAUCACUUUUCUCUCUCUUAAUCAAAACUCUCAUUAAAAAAAUUUUAGAUUUUUAUUUCGAUUUCUAUUCUAAUUAAUGAUUCAAAUAUUUUUGGAUGAUUCGUCAUUCCAUUUUUCAUUUCAAAACAAUCUAAUUCUAUUUCUCAUUCCUAUUUUAAUUAUAAACCAAACAUGCCUUAAAAUGAGAUGUCAAAUAUAUUAAAUAUGAAAAACAUUCAAACAUUAUUUUUUACUAAUUUAAAUUUUCAGAGAAUAAUGGUAGAUUCAUAUUAUUUAACAUAGUAUCACAGUAUAAAGUUCUGAAUUCAAAUCACUUGUCAUGAAUUUAAAAAAAUAAUCUCGAACUUGGAACCUCGGAUACCAAACACCAAGCCCUUUGCCACUUGCAUUAGAGACGAUCGGUAAUUUAUCAAAUAUUCAUUUUAGUGUCCUGUGGUUUACCGAAUUUUUACUUCAGUACUCUCUGAUUUUAACUUUGUCAUUAAUUUAACAAAAAAAUUAACAAAGAAAAUAACGAAAAAAAAAAUCAUAAUAUACAAAAGUGAUAUAUUUUAAAGUAUAGGAUACUAAAAUGAAAAAGUACGAAACCACGGAUGUGGUAUUUAAAUUUUUCCCUUAUUAUGAUGCUUCAUCGUACAGUGUCGGUCGCAAUGUGGCCAGCUAUAUAAUUUCCACGGCAUUAUGAAAGGACACAACUCCAUGCAACAUCGUCCUCUGAACUAUUUAUUUAUUUAUUAUUUUAUUAUUUUUUAAUCACCAAGAAUCUUAAUACACAAUUAAGAAUCACUAAACCCAUAAUCUAAGACUCCAAUAAUUAUUCCUCACCAUUAAUUUAUAGCCCUAGAAUGCUUUGCUGAAUGUUUCCUUCCAUUCUCUGAAACAAGAAGAAAAGAAAAAAAGAAAAAGAAAAGGUGUGAUGCACACCCUGUCCUUAUGGUCCCAAUCUUAGAAUUAUUCAAUAGGAUGGGGUUAAAAUGCCCAAAAUAAUGUAUUGUUGUGCGUCUCUUGUGUACAAAAGAGUUGCUGACACCAACCUGGACAUGGAGUGCAAUGAAAGGAACUGUGCCCCAUCCUUACUGUCCUAGCUCACGGCCACAAUCUGCACCAACAACAUUCCAACACAUAGAAGAAUCCUAUCAUGCAUUAGCCAAAGGUAAAAUAAUUUUGCUUUUUGAUUAUAAAAGCGCUUUGUACAAAAGCGCUUUUCGACGAUGAGCACAAGAAGUUAGGCCUAGAGUUAAGAGCAGAAACUAGGCUGCAUCUUCUUCAAGUAGGAGUUUGAUUAGAUGUCCCAACUCCCCACUGCGAACACUACAAUUUUGUAGUUGGAACGUCGCAUUUUUGUGACGUAAAUAAGAUCGGUUCGAAGAAGAUGACAUGAUGAUUGAAUUAGCUGUUACAUCAUAUAUCCAUUACCAAGGUGUAAAAGGCAUUCAACAUUUGGACAUAGUUGUGACAGAAAUUAAAAUUUUUUUUUUGUAUCAAGUCACAAAGAUUAGAAGUUGGUCAUCUAAGUGAAAUGUGCACCACCAAAAGAGCAAUUGAUAAAGCUAUGGAAUAUUCAAGCUCCUUAAGCUAGAAAUGAAGAGAAGCUGAUAUCAUAAGGACACUCUCGACGCAAGAGAAGCAAAAGUUUGGCAUUAGAGUUUCUACUUUUGGGCUCAAAACCAACAAAAUUCAACAAAUUUUCACUUUCGGACACAACAAAGCUGUUCUAAAAGUCAAGCUAAAUGGAUACUUGAAUAUACUCGUAGAAAAUAUAUUGAAUAGAAUUUGUUACAAAUUAAACAUAUAUAAGGGAAUGGGAGGAAACUAUCAAAGCAUAGAAAAAGUGAUAACAUACUGUUGUUGAGUUAAAAUUAGUUAAGAAGAAUAUUCAGGAGACAGUAUGACAAAUACAAGUUCCCCAAAAAAAAGGCCACCUUUUGAAGCUUUUCGAGUUGGGGCCACAUAAAAGGAAAAACGACAACAGUGAACUUCUAAAAAUGUCCAAGCCACUUCCUAUUGCCUAAGAAAGUGACAAAACCUUUUCCAGCAAAAAGGAAAAUAAAAAGAAAAACACAGCCUACCAUGAAGAACUAUGAUUUACAUAGUUUUUCUUUUUCCUCUAAAAUAUUUGAGAAUUUUGCAAAAUCAAGCCUUCCUCAGUAUAUUUCAAUUUUAAUAAACUACUGUUUUUACCACUUUGGGCCAAAAAUGUGCUCUUCAUGGAAUUGUCCCUAGCCAACAUGAUGAUGAUAGAUAAACUUGUGACAAGAUUACAGCUAGAUUUUCGAGUAAAAAGAUAACUCCGCUCAAAGUUGGAAAUAAUGAGCUAAGGAGACCGAUCAUAAAAUCCAAAAAAAAAAAAAGGUGAAUUGUUUUUACAAAAUGGCCAUCCGUGUGUGCUUAACAUAAGAUACUCCGUAAAUUUACAGGCUAACCAUCUCUCUGUACAGGGUCACUUUUGUACUAUAUGAGGAUGAAUGACUAAAACAUAUUACAUGGACUUCAUAUGGCAUGUUCAAACAGUCCUAGACAAGUUUCUUGCAUCUUUCUAAUGUUCUCAAUAAAAAGCUACCCCUGACUUGUCGUUGAUAUAGUAACUCACAGUACAUUUCUGCAUCUUAUGUUCUCAAUAAAAAGCUGCCCCUAACUUGUCGUUGAUAUAGUAACUCAGAGUCCGUUUCAACAUCUCCACCUCCACACAGUUUUUACAAACUUGCAUUCAGAUUGGCAACAAUAAGACCCACAAAUAAUAGCUAACUACCGAUGCCUUACUGUAGCAAAUAAUGUGUGGAUUCGGAGAUUACAGGAUUCAAGAAAUAGCAAAUUAUAUGAUUGCCAAAUAUUAGCAAGAAAAUGGACUCAAUACAGUAAGAUUAGCUUAAUUAUAGAAACUGUGCAUCAUGGUUAGCUCUAAAGAAGCCCCUAUUUACAAUUGUUCAGGAAAAGACAUUUAACUCUUUAUUAUUUACCAUAGGCUAUUUACCUAAAAUGUGCUAAUGAUUAUUAUCUCAAAAGAGAGAAUUUGCACAUGUUACCUAGAAGAAACUAAAAAAGCUCGUCAAAAUGUCUUCUCCAGGAAGCUCUUAUUAUCCAAUCCUGCCUCUUACUCCAUCUGAUCUGUAUUUUGAACAUAUGAAGGCUCAAAUUAAUAUCAGAACAGUGAAUAAUUUCAGGCUUAAAGUGUAACAAAACCACAAUGCCAUUAAAAGGUACUACAAAGAGUUAAUCUAAUCCUGCACCUUCAAGGGCAUCAAACAACAUUUAAUGAAUGAGUUAAAUAUUUUAAAAUCUCUUGACACAGAUCUUCAAAAGUCAGAAACUUGCAAGUCCUGUUACAUACAUCUUUUCUCGUGUUCACUCACAAAAAGAAAAGUAAAAUUACAUGUUUUCACAGCAAGCAUCUGAAGGUUACAAUGCAUGAGCACAUGACUGAAUGAGAGAAUAUAAGCCUACUAUUCUAUAUUUCUAUGUAAACAAAUGACUUAUAUAUGAAGAAGAGUAGUUCAUUAUUCUAGAAAUGUCAAUUCUCACAUGAUAUCUAAUAGAUACUCCAACAAAAUUUGCCUCAAGCAUCUUACUAUUCAAAACAAAGGCAAAAUAUCAAUAAUGACUUGUAUACAUCAGGCUAAGCUCUUGAAAUGCUCUAAGCUCUCAAUCUUAAACUCCUGUCAACUAUCCGAAUCAAUUCAUUAUACAGUGUAUUAAACUUAUGUUUUGUGUAGUAGCAGGAAAGUGUUCUUUUUGCGUAUUUACCGAUAUAGAUAUACAAAAUUGUGCAAAAAACACUCCAACGCUGAUAUCUGCAUAUGUGUCCAUGGCAACUUACUUUUUAGUUUCUAGCUCUCAAAGAACUUAUUUCCGAGCACACCUAAAACUAAGAUAAGUAAAUAAGAUUUUGAAGGGGCAUACAUGCAAACAGUACAUCUCGAAUGGUAUUUAGUAUAUACAAACUCUCACAUAGUUGAAAGGGGUGGGGCGCUGUGUGUGUCUGUGUACAGAGAGAGAGAGAGAGUUUGGCUAGAAUACUAUUGGUAGUAAACAGGUUCCGCUACUACCCCGCGCGCGCGCAAGAGAGAGAGAGAGAGAGAGAGAGAGAGAGAGAGAGUUUAGCUAGAAUACUAUUGCUAGCAAACGGAUUCCGCUACUACUGAUUUAUUCUCGAUAAUAGGUCAUCCAAAUAGAUGGUCUGCACUGGUAAGCAUGAUAUUUUAUAAUUUGAGGUAUAUGCAAAUUGAAUUUCAUAAAUUUUCUGACAGUAACCUCUUACACAUCGAGCAGACACAACAAUCAACAGCCGAAAGUGAAUAUCCUUAAAAAGAUAAAGAUAUGAUUCUUGCGUUUUAAGAUAAAGGGUGCAAAUCUUAUUUUAAAUAAUUUCAAAAAAAAUCACCAACAAAAAAUCAACUUCUCUGUGUUCUUUACCACAGUUAAAGAAACAAAUGUCCCGCAUCGAUUAUAUUAAAAUUAAAAAAUUUGCAACUAUUUAGUCAUUAGGUAAGGUAAAUGAUGCCAAAAAAUUAAUUUCGAUUUGGAUGGCCUAUUAUUGGAAACAACUCGGUAGUAACUUUCUGAUCCAGCUAAUAAGAUUGUCACCACUUUGGUUGUUCGAUCUGAAAAUGUUCAUAGAAGAAAGUGUUGAUGAUGGUGGGACUAUAAUUAAUUUAAAAAAAAAAAAAAAAACAACCCAACAUGAAAUAAAGAAUAUUAGAGCAGGACAGUAAUAAAAGAGAAAAAGGAUUAAAAUUGCACACGACCUCCCAUCCGUUCCUCCCCGGAAAGCUGCGGCGGUGGCGCAUCGCAGCUCGGAAUGCAUCUCCCCGCUUCCUCGAGCGGGGGCAACCAGCUCUUUCUCCUGUCCUUGCGCCUCAGCACCGGGGCCUCGCCGAGGCCGGAUCCCGGGCUCUCGUCGACCACCUUACGCUCCGCCGCCGCCGCCGCCUUCGCGGCGCGCCCAGAUAAGCACAAGCAGAGGAUUAGCCGAAUUAGGUCGGGUUCGAUGUGCCAGGGGCGCCGCCGCCUCCGCUGCGGCGGAUGACGCACCUCGCCGGCGAGCGGCGGGAGGGAUUCACGGAGGCCGGAGAGAUCGAGCGCGCCGUCAUCGGCGGAGGCGGCGGCGGCGGCGGAGGAGGAGGUGGUGGAGGCGGCGCGAUCGGAUCGGUAGGGUUUGAAGGAGACGGGGGUUAGGGUUUGGGGUCGGAGGAAGCGCCCGCGUAGAGGCGAGGGCUUCGCCUUCUUUUGGGAUUCCUUCAUUUCUUCUUCUUCGUUGUCUUCUUCUCCUCCGUCGUCGCGCUGGAUUUCGAGGAUUUUAGGGUUUAGGGUUUUGUUCAUUAUUCUUAGUUACAACUCACAACUACAUCGGAUAAUAAUAUAAUAUAAUAUAAUAUAAUAUAAUGCGUUUCAACAUAGAUUUUUUUUUUUUUUUAAUUAUAAACACGCGUAGAACUGGAAGAAGAAAUAUUUUCAGAUAUAUAGAAGUUUAAAUAUUUAAUUAAUUACCUUCGAAUCUCUGAAGAAUAAAUAAUGAGGAUCCAGGAUUCGAACGCACGAACAAUAAAUAAAUAAUAAAAAAAUAGGAAAAGGGUUGGGUCGCAACUAGGCCAGUUUCUAAUGGGCCUCCAUUUUUAGGCCCAAUUUUGGUCCAAAUUGAGUGGGCCGCAUCCACUAAUGGAAAUGUUAGGGCUAGCCAAGUUUACGAUCGGGUCCAAUCUAAUUUACCAGACCGGACCGGACGGGCCGGUCCGGUUUGAUUAGGCUUAACCAAAGGUAAACACAUUGCUAAUCCCCAUUAAUCAUCUGUACUGUUCCUCCUUAAUGGAGAUUAUAAUUAUAUUAUCUCCAUUGUGAGAUAGUCAAAUCCAUCCUAUAUCACAUGCACGGCUCGAAUUUCAAAAUAAUUAUGAAUGGCGAAUUCAAUGAUCUCAACAUGUGGAUGACCUGUAUAAAAUUUUUAUUUUUGUGAUGGAAAAUAUGUUGUUUUACAAACCAUCCUUAUCGCCCAAUUUUAGGAUCCUUUGCCGUAGUCGGCUUAUUUUAUAGCACUUUUUUUUUUUUUUUUAAGAGAUAGGUAACAUGUUAUUCGUUUCGUUUAUUUCAUUUAAAAAUAAAUUUAGCUAGAAAUGUAAAUUAACUAGAAUUCGAAUUUAGAUCUAGGAUACCAACCAUCAAGUCUUUUGCCACUUGCUCUAGAGACUGUCGGUUUUAUAGCACAAUUGUUCAUCUCUUUUCUCCCUUUCUCUUCACAGCUAGUUAUACCUUUAUCAUCUUGAUUCAAGGAUUUUCGACUUUGCCGCGGGGGUAAUAUUUUUCUCUAGUUGUGGCUAGAAUUGGAUUGGAAUGCAAAAUUUUGUGUAUCAGUAGAUAUCAUUUAUCAAUGUAAUAGUAUUUUUUCACAAAAUUUUGCAGCGAUCUAUAAUUCUUGGAUUUAUUUACUUGACAUGAAAAUAAACUCCGAGUUGAAAAAAAAAAAAAAGCAAAAAAAUUAGUAAUUCAAUAUUUGGUUAUAAUAAGGAAUUAAUCAUGAUAUAAAAUAACCAAAAAUAUAACAAAUUAAGUUAACAAAUUUGAGCUUGUGUUGGAUUCAAAUUUCCAACAAAAUACGUUAUUCAAAAUAAUAAAUAAUCAUUCAAGCACUAUUGUAGAGAUUGUAUUUUCAUAUGCGAUCCCAAAAACCUUAUUUAUUUGCAUAUUUUAUAAUUUAAUAGCGCAGAUAUUCCCGUAGGAACUCGUGUGCAUGCAAAUUUCAACUCUGAUAUAGUUUCUAAAUUUUUGAAUUUAAAACAAUUCGUACUAACUACAUUGAGAAGUUCCAACAGGGUUAUUCAGGGUCUCUAAUUAAUAAUAAUCCACUUUAUAUAACAAUAUCUAUGUGCUUAAUAUACAUUUGUAUUUGACACAUUAUGUAACGUAUAAUAAAUUAUCAUCUGAGAGACUAUUUAUUGUCCUUAUAAUCUAUGAUUUGGCAAAGAUACCUAACUUGGUCAUAUUAAUCCACUUUAAUUUUCCCAAUCCAAUUAAAGUUGCUAUCCAUGAUCAAUGAAGCUUACUUGUUCCUCGCAGCAAAAAUAAUUAUUAUUUAGCUAACCAAAACAGCUCCUUCUAAAACCCCAUCCCCCACUACCAUUCACAGUGGUGGUCAAUUUCAUUGGUUCCUUGAUUAUAAGUAGAGCUUAUCCCUCUAAGAUAAUUGUAUUUAUAUGUAGUUGUUGUAUCUAAUGACAUUAAACAUAAUUAUCAACACAUUAAGUUUGAGUUCAAAAUUAGAUGUUUAUGGCAUUCGGUGACAUGUCUAAAUCACCAAUUAUUUUGUGUCAUUAGAGACCUCACUAAUCUUGUGAGUAUUCAUUUAGUCAACACAAAAUAUAAACCCAACCAAAUUAAUCAAUUUGAUCUGACGGUACUGAGCGCUGUGGGCCAACGACUUAAUAAUUGAUAUCUGAGAUUUCAAAUUCGAAAACGGGUGAUUUCACAUUUUUAAUAAAAUUUAUUUUAAAAAAUAAAAAUAAUUUAUAAAAAUAAAAUGCCUAUUUUUGUGAUCAAAUCCCUCUCUCUCUCUCUCUCUCAUGUGAUGUGUUAAAGCCCAUCACAUGCUUUACCCCCACCACAAGCCAUGUGGAAUUCAAAUCCCAACCUCACUCAUUAAUCAUUAUUCAAACCAACCCCUCACCUCACUUUAUCUUCUACCAAAGUCCCAACUCUUAUAACAAACAUCUUCUUUAUUGUACAUGUAUAAAUAUAAAUAGUAUUAGCACCCGUACUUAAAAUCUUAAAAAGCGAAAAAAAAAUCUCAAAAGUUAAACCCCAUGUAAUAAUUAGAUGAAAAGUAGAUGGAGACCCCUUAGCUUUAGACUGUUAAAUAUAAAAAUAUUUAAACAUUAUUUUUUAACAGCUUAAAUUUUUAAAGUACAACGAUUAUUUCACAUGAUAUCAGAACAGAAGAUUCUGAGUUCAAGUAAUGCCAGACUCCUAGCAUAUUAAUUUUCUCCCACUUAAUUCAAGCCUACGUCAUGGCCAGACUAGAAAGUUUCGUAACGCCAUUCUCUAACAGCUUAAGCUUUUAGAGUACAACAAUUGUUUCACAAUUUUGUAACAAAUUCCUUGACUACUUUUAUUUGUAAUUGAUAUAUUUUAAAAUUAAUUAUUUCAUAUGCUAUGAGUCGUUGAAAAUUAGCGAAUUUAGUAGCGUCGUCAAAUAUUAAAUAAGU
This 42545-nucleotide long non-coding RNA is filed under the name Ananas comosus (pineapple). RNAcentral describes it as "long non-coding RNA (ACOM_LNC006546)". Lineage: Eukaryota; Viridiplantae; Streptophyta; Magnoliopsida; Poales; Bromeliaceae. The record is from RNAcentral.